GGGGGAAGUCAGAUUGCACCAUUUCUACCUCGUUUGGCAGCAGAAGCCCAGAGUCACAAAGAAGAUGAGGUUCUAGUCCAGACGCAGCUGGGUUAUUGUCACUCUAAAGGUGGUGAAUGAAUCACUCCUCCUGAAUGCAAACACCAGCAAAGAAUGCGUUAGAGGAUCCGCCAUCAUAUUAAAAAUUAAAUCCGGCCGCAUUUCAUAAUGGGCUCUCCUUUUUCAAGCACGAUUUCAUCUUCUCACCAUGGAAAUUGCGCUCUCAUGGCUGUUCUUUAUGGUUAACACUGAUGCAUCGGCUGAGGUCAGAACCCUGCUUCUCUGAACAGGGAACCACAAAUGUCACCGACACAUGGUACAGUUGGCAAAUAAUAUAUUUCUUUCCAAUCUCCUGUGUCUUCAGUUGCCUCGCGUCAUGCUUGUGAUGAGAGCAAAUAUCCUGCAAUGCAGCAACGGCGCAGAAGGACUGCAUUGAAACCGUCCACAAGCUGAACAAAACCAGGCCUUUAAGGAAACCAUGGAAAGGGAGGCAGCGGUCUGCCCUGCUGCCCUUCAGCCAGGACAACCUGGAACUCAAGUCCCAGCCCCAUCCUUCCAUGUAGAGUAGGUGCAGAAACUGUCUGCCUAAGAAAUUCUUAGUGAAUACAAAACACAAAGUCCUGAAUCUAACCCACGCCACCCCCCCCCGCCCUGCACACACACACCAUAAUGGUGGAAGUCUUGAGCCAAGCUACCGCCAAUACAGUUUUUCCACCAGAGAAGUAUUUUAGUUUAAGGCGAACGUUAUCGGAAUGGUAAGUUUUCCCUUAAAGGAUAGGCCAGAUGAUGACUCUUUCCAACUACACAGUCUUGAGAAAUUAAAAAUCUAUUGCAGGAAUAUUUAUAUUCUUCUCUC
This is a non-coding RNA of Manis javanica (Malayan pangolin), 895 nucleotides long. Lineage: Eukaryota; Metazoa; Chordata; Mammalia; Pholidota; Manidae. The record is from RefSeq and is a predicted model, not a curated record.